Molecule: ribosomal RNA, 253 nt
Filed under: uncultured bacterium
Lineage: Bacteria
Description: partial 16S ribosomal RNA
Rfam family: Bacterial small subunit ribosomal RNA
Source: RNAcentral
UACGUAGGGUGCAAGCGUUGUCCGGAAUUAUUGGGCGUAAAGAGCUCGUAGGCGGUCAGUCGCGUCUGCUGUGAAAACUCGGGGCUUAACUCCGGGCCUGCAGUGGGUACGGGCUGACUAGAGUGCGGUAGGGGAGACUGGAAUUCCUGGUGUAGCGGUGAAAUGCGCAGAUAUCAGGAGGAACACCGGUGGCGAAGGCGGGUCUCUGGGCCGAUACUGACACUGAGAAGCGAAAGCGUGGGGAGCGAACAGG